Molecule: transfer RNA, 62 nt
Filed under: Malayopython reticulatus (reticulated python)
Lineage: Eukaryota; Metazoa; Chordata; Lepidosauria; Squamata; Pythonidae
Description: tRNA-Met
Source: RNAcentral
AGUAAAGUCAGCUAAACAAGCUAUCGGGCCCAUACCCCGAAAAUGCCCUCGGGCCUUUACCA